GGGUUGUGAGGUUAAGCGACUAAGCGUACACGGUGGAUGCCCUGGCAGUCAGAGGCGAUGAAGGACGUGCUAAUCUGCGAUAAGCGUCGGUAAGGUGAUAUGAACCGUUAUAACCGGCGAUUUCCGAAUGGGGAAACCCAGUGUGUUUCGACACACUAUCAUUAACUGAAUCCAUAGGUUAAUGAGGCGAACCGGGGGAACUGAAACAUCUAAGUACCCCGAGGAAAAGAAAUCAACCGAGAUUCCCCCAGUAGCGGCGAGCGAACGGGGAGCAGCCCAGAGCCUGAAUCAGUGUGUGUGUUAGUGGAAGCGUCUGGAAAGGCGCGCGAUACAGGGUGACAGCCCCGUACACAAAAAUGCACAUGCUGUGAGCUCGAUGAGUAGGGCGGGACACGUGGUAUCCUGUCUGAAUAUGGGGGGACCAUCCUCCAAGGCUAAAUACUCCUGACUGACCGAUAGUGAACCAGUACCGUGAGGGAAAGGCGAAAAGAACCCCGGCGAGGGGAGUGAAAAAGAACCUGAAACCGUGUACGUACAAGCAGUGGGAGCACGCUUAGGCGUGUGACUGCGUACCUUUUGUAUAAUGGGUCAGCGACUUAUAUUCUGUAGCAAGGUUAACCGAAUAGGGGAGCCGAAGGGAAACCGAGUCUUAACUGGGCGUUAAGUUGCAGGGUAUAGACCCGAAACCCGGUGAUCUAGCCAUGGGCAGGUUGAAGGUUGGGUAACACUAACUGGAGGACCGAACCGACUAAUGUUGAAAAAUUAGCGGAUGACUUGUGGCUGGGGGUGAAAGGCCAAUCAAACCGGGAGAUAGCUGGUUCUCCCCGAAAGCUAUUUAGGUAGCGCCUCGUGAAUUCAUCUCCGGGGGUAGAGCACUGUUUCGGCAAGGGGGUCAUCCCGACUUACCAACCCGAUGCAAACUGCGAAUACCGGAGAAUGUUAUCACGGGAGACACUCGGCGGGUGCUAACGUCCGUCGUGAAGAGGGAAACAACCCAGACCGCCAGCUAAGGUCCCAAAGUCAUGGUUAAGUGGGAAACGAUGUGGGAAGGCCCAGACAGCCAGGAUGUUGGCUUAGAAGCAGCCAUCAUUUAAAGAAAGCGUAAUAGCUCACUGGUCGAGUCGGCCUGCGCGGAAGAUGUAACGGGGCUAAACCAUGCACCGAAGCUGCGGCAGCGACGCUGAUGCGUUGUUGGGUAGGGGAGCGUUCUGUAAGCCUGUGAAGGUGUGCUGUGAGGCAUGCUGGAGGUAUCAGAAGUGCGAAUGCUGACAUAAGUAACGAUAAAGCGGGUGAAAAGCCCGCUCGCCGGAAGACCAAGGGUUCCUGUCCAACGUUAAUCGGGGCAGGGUGAGUCGACCCCUAAGGCGAGGCCGAAAGGCGUAGUCGAUGGGAAACAGGUUAAUAUUCCUGUACUUGGUGUUACUGCGAAGGGGGGACGGAGAAGGCUAUGUUGGCCGGGCGACGGUUGUCCCGGUUUAAGCGUGUAGGCUGGUUUUCCAGGCAAAUCCGGAAAAUCAAGGCUGAGGCGUGAUGACGAGGCACUACGGUGCUGAAGCAACAAAUGCCCUGCUUCCAGGAAAAGCCUCUAAGCAUCAGGUAACAUCAAAUCGUACCCCAAACCGACACAGGUGGUCAGGUAGAGAAUACCAAGGCGCUUGAGAGAACUCGGGUGAAGGAACUAGGCAAAAUGGUGCCGUAACUUCGGGAGAAGGCACGCUGAUAUGUAGGUGAAGUCCCUCGCGGAUGGAGCUGAAAUCAGUCGAAGAUACCAGCUGGCUGCAACUGUUUAUUAAAAACACAGCACUGUGCAAACACGAAAGUGGACGUAUACGGUGUGACGCCUGCCCGGUGCCGGAAGGUUAAUUGAUGGGGUUAGCCGCAAGGCGAAGCUCUUGAUCGAAGCCCCGGUAAACGGCGGCCGUAACUAUAACGGUCCUAAGGUAGCGAAAUUCCUUGUCGGGUAAGUUCCGACCUGCACGAAUGGCGUAAUGAUGGCCAGGCUGUCUCCACCCGAGACUCAGUGAAAUUGAACUCGCUGUGAAGAUGCAGUGUACCCGCGGCAAGACGGAAAGACCCCGUGAACCUUUACUAUAGCUUGACACUGAACAUUGAGCCUUGAUGUGUAGGAUAGGUGGGAGGCUUUGAAGUGUGGACGCCAGUCUGCAUGGAGCCGACCUUGAAAUACCACCCUUUAAUGUUUGAUGUUCUAACGUUGACCCGUAAUCCGGGUUGCGGACAGUGUCUGGUGGGUAGUUUGACUGGGGCGGUCUCCUCCUAAAGAGUAACGGAGGAGCACGAAGGUUGGCUAAUCCUGGUCGGACAUCAGGAGGUUAGUGCAAUGGCAUAAGCCAGCUUGACUGCGAGCGUGACGGCGCGAGCAGGUGCGAAAGCAGGUCAUAGUGAUCCGGUGGUUCUGAAUGGAAGGGCCAUCGCUCAACGGAUAAAAGGUACUCCGGGGAUAACAGGCUGAUACCGCCCAAGAGUUCAUAUCGACGGCGGUGUUUGGCACCUCGAUGUCGGCUCAUCACAUCCUGGGGCUGAAGUAGGUCCCAAGGGUAUGGCUGUUCGCCAUUUAAAGUGGUACGCGAGCUGGGUUUAGAACGUCGUGAGACAGUUCGGUCCCUAUCUGCCGUGGGCGCUGGAGAACUGAGGGGGGCUGCUCCUAGUACGAGAGGACCGGAGUGGACGCAUCACUGGUGUUCGGGUUGUCAUGCCAAUGGCACUGCCCGGUAGCUAAAUGCGGAAGAGAUAAGUGCUGAAAGCAUCUAAGCACGAAACUUGCCCCGAGAUGAGUUCUCCCUGACUCCUUGAGAGUCCUGAAGGAACGUUGAAGACGACGACGUUGAUAGGCCGGGUGUGUAAGCGCAGCGAUGCGUUGAGCUAACCGGUACUAAUGAACCGUGAGGCUUAACCUUACAACGCCGAAGGUGUUU
Molecule: ribosomal RNA, 2933 nt
Filed under: Escherichia coli
Lineage: Bacteria; Pseudomonadati; Pseudomonadota; Gammaproteobacteria; Enterobacterales; Enterobacteriaceae
Description: bacterial LSU rRNA
Rfam family: Bacterial large subunit ribosomal RNA
Source: RNAcentral